AGCAUUAACGAGACUGAGCUUGUGAAGGCUAUGGAGGAAAUGUUUGAUUGGGGCUGGCAAUGAAGAGUGAGGGAUUUUGAAAAGAAUGGAUACAUGAUGAGAUUUCUCAAUAAAGCAAAGUUGGUGGAGUUGGCCAAGUUUAAUGACUUCAAACUGCUGGGGACAGGGAUGGUGAUCAAGGUUCAACCAUGGUCCCUUGAUCAUCAAGUUGUUGGGAAGAUGCACACCAUUUGGGUCAGGCUGGCCAAGGUUCCAGAUUGUUUUAGGCAUUUUUUGGGUGUUUGUGAGGUGGCUAUUGCAGUUGGACCUGUCCUGGAAAUUGAUAUGGAUACUAUAAAUGAGGAGAAAAUUAGAGCAAAGUGUGGGAUCAGAGAUGUGGAGAAAAUACCAACUCAAGUGGAAAUCACUUCCCCUGAUCUUCUUAUGUUUAGAAUUGGGAUGGAAACUGAGAAGGUGGUGGGGAUUGGCUGGUAUAAGGAAGAAAAGAGGAAAAAUGAUAGCAGCAAUUUCUCAGAAGGGGGAGAGGAUGAGAUUGACAAUAGGAAGAGGACUAGAAUGGAGGAGAAUGAACAUAGAGGGGUUUCUCUGGGAUGCUUAUCCCUGAAACAAAGUGAGGAGGUGGAUAAAAGAAUUGAAGGAAUGAAAACUCAAAUGGAUGUGACCAUGUUGCAGUGGCAAAAGGAGAUGGCUUUGGAGAGAGGAAAAUGGCAAAAAGAAAGUGAAAUCAUGUUCAGCAAGAUCAAAACCUUGGAGGAAGACAAGAUUAGAAACAAUGCACUAUGGGCUAAAAAUGAAAACAGAAUCAGGGAACUAGAAAAGGUUCAGGCAGAGUUGCGGGAGAUUAGUAAAAAACAACUUGAAGAAAUUCAGAAACUGACACAAGAGGCUGCCAAUAGAGAGGAGUAUGAAAUGGAGUUAGCUAAUAUGGACCUUGAAGAUUAUGAGAAAGAGACUCAACAGAAAAAGGAAGAUACUGAGUCUGGGAAAUAUAAUGAGCCCACUGAUUAUAAUGCUAGCCAAGAAUCUAUUGGGACUCUGGGGGAGAAAAUGGCUAAAAUACAUGGAAGUGAGAUCCUGGAUAAAGAAGGGGAGGAGAAAGAUGUUGAAAUCAAGAGAAGCCUGAGAAACAAAGGAAGAGAAGACAAGAAGAUUGAGGAUAUGGCUAAAAGCAGAGCUGAGGAGAGGGACAAUUAUGGAAACAGCUGGAAUCACAUGGGGGCAACAAUGUAGGAAAGCCAGACAUGAUUGGAUGCACUAGCACCGAGGAGGAAACCCCAGUGAUGAAAUAUAUGGCUACUCGAGUGAUGAAUUCUGUAGAAGAACGCCAUCCAGAGUGAAUUGCACUGAUUUGAUAACAUAACCUCGCGUUGUGUUUGCCCGGAAAGUAAAAAAAAGUCACGAUCAUGCAGGAAGAAUGAAAGGAGAAAAUGCAAACAAAAAAUCAGAAUUCCAAAUGAGAAGAGAUAGAGUUAUCAAAGGGCUGAUCAUACCUCAUGCUCAAGCUCUUCAACAGAAGAGCACAAGCCUGCACUCUCUGCUCACAUAACAUUAUUUUCGGCAUGGAACUCGCCUAAACACUUCCUGGAAGUUUUUAUCUCCUCCAACUUCUCGUUCAAAGCCUAAUUAUAUAGCCUGUUCUCAGCAC
Molecule: RNA transcript, 1645 nt
Organism: Triticum aestivum (bread wheat)
Lineage: Eukaryota; Viridiplantae; Streptophyta; Magnoliopsida; Poales; Poaceae
Gene name: golgin subfamily A member 6-like protein 1
Exons: 3
Source: RefSeq, a predicted model, not a curated record